RNAcentral lists this transfer RNA (74 nucleotides) under Bacteroidaceae bacterium. RNAcentral describes it as "tRNA-Gly". It matches the Rfam family "tRNA". Rfam says of the family: Transfer RNA (tRNA) molecules are approximately 80 nucleotides in length. Their secondary structure includes four short double-helical elements and three loops (D, anti-codon, and T loops). Lineage: Bacteria; Pseudomonadati; Bacteroidota; Bacteroidia; Bacteroidales; Bacteroidaceae. The record is from RNAcentral.
GCGGUAGUGGCUCAACGGCAGAGCAUCGGCCUUCCAAGCCGACAACGUGGGUUCGACUCCCAUCUACCGCUCCA